UAACCAAAACAGUUUGACAUUGACCGUCGCGAGCGAUCGUCCGACCGUCGUGACGAUAUAUUUAAUCGCAGAAAGUUUCUUCAACAUUACUAAUUAAACUCGGAAUGAUUAAAUCGCAACAAUUAUCUAGCAGCAGAAAUUGAGUGUGUAAAAAUUGUAUCGCGAAGUGAAGGUCUAAACAAAAAGAAACACUACGUAUAACAUUAAUAUGCCAUCGCGCAAUGAUACUUCCGAGUAUAUUAAAUACGGAGACAUUUUAAAAACUUACAAAAGUAAAAAAAUCUCCUCUCUUGCUUAUAUUAAACAGACGUGGCUUUUAAGUAAUGGCAUUUGUGCCAACGCGAAAGCGAGAUGAAAGAAUAUUUCUUUGUCCGAAUAAAUUAAUCGUCUCGAGAGCCGCGGUUUAUAUUAUAUGAUGAAGGCACAAGAGGCUGGUAUUGCAGCUCAUUCCAGACAGAAUGAACCACAAUAUUACAUCGCGAAACGCAAUGUUGGGAAGGGUUAAAAUUCCAACGCACCACGACAGCAAAUUAGAAUCUUAUUGUCGACGAAUACGAGACGGUGGUUUCAUUAGUUCGAAAAAUUACAGCAAACAGCGAGCCUUCUUAAAUCCCCACUGUCAAAUUCGAAGCGUCAGAAAUAAGCUGCAAAAUAUUUGUCGCGACAAAUUACCUGCAAGCAGGAGCACUUUCGAUUGAUUCCAUUUCAAGCUGGUUUUCCACGAUCUCUGCGACAAAGAGACAAGGGAGGGUAGAGGGGCUCUCGUUACCGGUGCGUUUUUCGCAUCGACUUGCAAAUUGCAUUAGGACAUCGAUGCGCUCACGAGGAGAGUAAUCCGCCGUAUUACUUUCCGUGCCGUGCAUCCCUUAAACGGCGGCGGGUUAUAUUGGCCGCGAACGAAUCGAUUUUCCGCUUCCGCUCGCUAUCAGUGUCACCCAGGCAAGGGAGCUGAGUGCAUCCACGGACGAUAUUAACCUUAGCCGCGUUUUAUCGGAAAGUAUCGACGCCCGCCAGCCGUUCCUGGUAAUAGGAACUGAUACCGAUGUAAUUAAUCGCCGCCGGCAACUGCUCCACGCACCGGGAAACGCCGAAAUCCAGUCUCGCGUUUCAACGCACGACGAUGCACUACGAACAUAUUGUAUCGACGUGGACUCAUUAUCGGGCUCAUCGCAGACAAGAUCGACAUUAUUAUUACCGUUUAACGAUCGCGUACUACUACCGUUGCAGCACAAUGACGGCAUCAAAUCCCACUUGAGCCGUUUUGCUUCUCCCUUAAGCUGCCAUAACUACGUUCCAUCUGAGUAUGAUGCAGUAUAACGCGCCGAAUUAAUAAUACUCAGCGCUUAAGUGUUAAAUGAAUUUAAGUCCCGCAGAGGUCAAGCUAAUAUCUACGAUAAAUUCGGAUACAAGACGCUUAAAAGAAAUGGAAAAAUAAUAGAAUCUUUAUUAUAUAUCAGUGACCCUCUCCGGGCAGAUAAUUCCUCGCGAGAGAUUUAUAAGAUAAGUAUAGCUCUCGCUUUCAUCACGGCAUUGUCUCUCUCAGAUCUAUUAUUACUUAGCAAUAUUUCUAUUUACAAAUCUUAAUGUCGGUGCAAUAAUUAAAUUGCGUUUUACAAAAAAUGUGGAAAUUAAAUAACUCGUAUAUUCUGAUAAAAAUAGCUUUCCCAAAAUACAGUUAUAAUCCACUUUGAGGCCCACGAUUAAGUAAUCAAAUUAUUUGGAUUGCUUGUAACCCUAAUUUUACGUUUAUUUUUUCAAAUUAAUUCUGUAUUAAAUAUAAAAUUUACAAUUAGCUAUUCUACUUCAAAAAUUUUUAAGUUAUACUAGUCCAAUCUCUCGAUUAGUUCUGUCGAUAUUCAGUUGCACAAAAAUAUUUUUUACUUAAAUAAGACGCUAACCAAAAUAUUAAGUUGUUUAACUACAAAAAACCAGUCAAAUUUUUUCUUACGGUAAGAUUACAACCAAUUGAAAUAAUUUCAUUACUUAGUCGUGAAUUUCAAAGUGAAUUAUAACCAUAUUUUGGGGAGAAACUAUUCUUCCCAGAACACGAAUAAUGCGUUUUUUCGUUGUUAUGAGAACGCAUAUUAUAAGCACGCAAGUCAAAUUAUUUAAUAUUAUUUGUCUCUUCAAAAAGAGUUUAAUAUAUUCAUCUUUAUGGUACCAAAUAUUCUAAUAUUGUAUCAAAAAUGCAUAAAUUUAAUUAAUUUUCAAAAUUUAUCUAUUGAUUCGUAUUAUUCCCGAGACAAAUUUCUAAACAAAGAACAAGGUUAUAGAGAAGUGUUUUAUAGUAUUUCUAAAUACAUAUCAUUAUGAUAAAAUAACUUGAAAAAUAAAUUUUAAAAACGCGAUAGCACUGUAUAACGCUACGAACUAGUGUGAUUUAACGUAAAGUUAGAUUAAAAGUACAUUACACUAGCGGUGCAAAUCAAUAUUUUUAUGCAAAAAAAAAAACAGUAUAGAAUUAAAACAAUCUACAUAAUAAUUUUUUUUUCUUAAAAAUUUAACUCAUAGCAUGUUGUUCCAUUAAAUGUAAUGUAUGUUUACUUUUUUAAAAAUUGUUAUACGUAUAUACAAAUGUAUAUUUCUAAUUAGUUUUUUGUACGGUUCCAUGGAAUAUAAUUGCAAUUAAAAAUUAACUAAUACAUAAAUAUAAACUCUUUGUUUUAUAUAUUACUAAGUAAACUACUAAUCGAUGCUUUUGUCUAUAUUCGCUCUAUGCAUUUAGUAUCGCUACUGGAAUUUCUGAUUUGUGAAAGGACUGAUAUUAAUUUGAACUAUCGGAACUUGCCUCAAUCAGGCAAGCUGAAAUUUGCUCUCGCUAAACAGACCUUCACUGCUACGCUGUUUACACCACAUUAUUUAUCUUGAGGUCAUAUUGUAAUAUUCCCAAACCAAUAUAACCACACGUCAGGUCCUUUAUACACGAAGUAGAUAUGAGAACACAAUAUAGAAAUACCAAUCAUUGAAGUAGCCAACGUAAGUCGAUAUUUUGUUCUUGCGAAGCUUACGCCCCGCGGUUUCCAUUUGAUCGAGUUGACCAUGCUUGCGGCUUAUGUAAAUUUGUAUGCGAUGGUCUCCAUCCGUCACACAGAAACUGGACAGUCGGAACAAGUUUACACGCGUCGAGCCAUUGAUACGCGCUGCCAUAUUACUCUCGCGAAGCUGAUACCAGGUCAUAUCAUUGAUAUCCAUACGCCACGCUUUACCUGUGUUAUGUAAAUUCGCGCGCGGUGGACUUUACCCAUGGUCGUCCACUGGACAGCCGGAGCGAGUUUACACGCGUUGUAUUGCGAGUUAGUAUGUAAAGUUAAGGCACGAGAUGCAUUACGGGGUUAAUCCGCGGUUAUACGCCGGGCCGAAGCUCACCGGGGGAGUUUCGCUGUCCAAUCGCUUUCGAGGCACCGCCACUCCGAUUUGGAGUUUUGGAGAGCAGACUGGGAAACCCCCGAGGCGAUGCAUGGGGAUUGCUAUUUCAGCACUUCCGCCGCUAAAGCGAUUGUACAUCUUCGAGCCAAACUUUUCACGCGGUCAUGUUCAAUCCAGUCAAAUCCGGUCACUCACCUACUUUCAAAUAUGCCUCCGGAGAGAACACACGCGCUAUUAAAGCAGCACCAUGGACAUAAUAUAAGCUGAAUAGCACAAUGAUGCUUUAUCCUUUUAGCCCUUCUGAAUAAACAUGUUUCGUAAUACACAAAUAUCUUUAAAUUUGAAUAUUGAAAACUGUAUCUUGAUAUACCCCCCUAAUUCCAAAAUUCUCUUUCCAAACAACUGUGUACAAUAAGCAUUUCAGUAUUCUUUUUAAUCCUAGACUGGCACUUACAUUUCCCUAAAAUUAAUACCACUCCGAGUAAAAAUUCAUUCACACGAUCGAAAAAACCUUUACACUUUUUUAAUGUUUACUUUAUGGGUUGCAAGAAAUGUUAAGUGGCUUAUAGUGUAAGAGCGACAGACUCGUAAGUGAUGUGUCGCGAGUUUGAACCCACAUUCCGUAUACAGAUGACGUAUAGGAACUGAUAUACUCCUACUAUUACUAUUACUUAUAGGUUGCAAGAUGGUAAAAUAUUUGAACACAAUUUUAAUAAUUCUAGAAAGUAGAGUUAAAAGAAGUAAGUAAGGCCCUUGUCUGCCUUUUUAGUGAUAAAUAUUCAAUUAAUAAAUAAUUUUGUCUGUCUUUAAGUAAAAUUAAUCGAUAAUUAUUACUUAAAUAAUUAUAAUAAUCAUACUGAUAUAUCUUUAUUUUCAUUGUCAGACUAAAAAAAUUUACAAGAUUCACUAAAAUUACUAAAAUAGCUUUUUUCAAGUUAUUUAGGGUUUUCUAUGGUUUACUCCAAAAUCUAUUUAAAAAUUCCAUAAGAUUUCCCGGAUUUUCCAAGAAUUUUAUUCAAAAUACUAGUAGAAAAAAUUAGAGAAUUUUUUAUGUAUAAUAGACUUAAAAUCAAUUUAUUUCAUUAUACUUUUUAAUGUUCCUUAAUCAUAUAAUCACAAAACUACUUAAACAUUUUUCUCAAAAAAAAAAAAAA
Molecule: long non-coding RNA, 4520 nt
Organism: Monomorium pharaonis (pharaoh ant)
Lineage: Eukaryota; Metazoa; Arthropoda; Insecta; Hymenoptera; Formicidae
Exons: 2
Source: RefSeq, a predicted model, not a curated record